UUCGGUGAAUUGAGUUUUGAUGAGGCAGGCACGGUGGCGUUAGGUAACACAAGGUGUGAUGGGUUUUGAUAAGGCAGGUGCGGUGUAUUCAGGUUAGAUGGGGCAUGGCGGGGCGAACUUAGGCAGGUAAUUUAUAGGAGGUUAUAUGGAUGAGUUUGAAGCAGAACGUGCGUGGGCAGAGAAGCAGUUCUUAACUGAGUUGCGGGAUGAUUUUGCUAUGGCAGCAAUUACAGGGAUUCUUGCAGGUAAGUGGGGGCAGAUGCCGCAGUACAAACCCGAAGAAGCGUUCGCUGAUUUUGCGUAUCGUGUAGCAGAUGAAAUGAUUAAACAGAGAGGUAAGCAUGUCGAUAAUGAAUCAAAACAAGAUAGCUGAAACACAACCCCAACCUAUCUUCUACCUACACGGUGUUCCUUAUCUUCCUGAUUACAGCGAGAAGCAUCGUUGGAUUGGGCCUGGAAAUAAACAUACGAGGACGGUGUACAAAACAAUAGAGUUGGCAGAGGCAGGUGCAAGGUUAAGUGUUAUGUCGUUAUGGGCAAGAUCAUGGACUGAAGAAGAGGGGAGUGAAAUAGUACCUGAAACCGAAAGUCUACAAGCAGUGGAAGUGCCAUGGGCAACCGGCACGACCGCGUACCUUUUGCAUAAUGGGUCGGCGAGUUACCCUACGUGGCAAGCUUAACUCAUUUGAGGGAGGCGAAGCGAAAGCGAGUCUGAACAGGGCGUCAAGUCGCGUGGGGUAGACCCGAAACGGUGUGAUCUACCCAUGGCCAGGUUGAAGCGCGAGUAAAAUCGCGUGGAGGACCGAACCCACCGGUGUUGAAAAACCGGGGGAUGAGCUGUGGGUGGGGGUGAAAGGCCAAUCAAACACCGAAAUGGCUGGUUCUCCCCGAAAUAUAUCUAGGUAUAGCGUCGCGUAUCACCCCCGGAGGUAGAGCACUGAAUGGGCUAGGGGCCUUACCAGGUUACCAAACCCAAUCAAACUCCGAAUGCCGGGAAGUGCAGCGCGGCAGUCAGUCAUCGGGUGAUAACGUCCGGUGUCAAAAGGGAAAGAACCCAGACCGCCAGCUAAGGUCCCCAAGCACAGGCUAAGUGGUAAACGUUGUCGGGUCGCACAAACAGCCAGGAGGUUGGCUUAGAAGCAGCCAUCCUUUAAAGAAAGCGUAAUAGCUCACUGGUCGAGUGAACCGGCGCGGAAAAUACAACGGGGCUCAAGCCUGUCACCGAAGCUGCGGACUCUUUCGAGAGUGGUAGGGGAGCGUUCCAGUGGCGGUGAAGCAUGAUCGAUAAGAACAUGUGGAGCUCCUGGAAGUGAGAAUGCCGAUAUGAGUAACGAUAAAACGGGUGAGAAACCCGUUCGCCGUAAGCCCAAGGUUUCCCGGGCCAGGAUUAUCCUCCCGGGGUUAGUCGGGUCCUAAGCCGAGGCCGUUUGGCGUAGGCGAUGGGAAUCAGGUUAAUAUUCCUGAACCGGCUUGGAUGUGUCGAUCUCAGUGGGGACGGAGAAGGUUAGCUCAGCCAACUGUUGGAUAUGUUGGUUCAAGCCCGUAGGUGGAGCCCUCAGGACCGUUAUCGGACAAACGGGGGCUCAUACGCCGAGAGGUGAUGAGAGGUGGCGCACCUUGGUGCAACGCCGAACUGAGUAAUUCCAGGCUUCCUAGAAAAGCCACGGAGGGAGCAUUCAGGCUGUCCGUACCGCAAACCGACUCAGGUGGGCGGGAAGAGUAUUCCAAGGCGCUUGAGAGAACCCUGGUUAAGGAACUAGGCAAAUUGACACCGUAACUUUGGGAUAAGGUGUGCCUCUCGGGUCAACGGCCUUGUGCCGGUAGCCCUCUGAGGUCGCAGAGCAUAGGGGGUAGCGACUGUUUAUUAAAAACAUAGGUCUGUGUAAAGUCGUUGAGACGACGUAUACGGACUGACGCCUGUCCGGUGCUGGAAGGUCAAGAGGAGAUGUCAGCGUAAGCGAAGCAUUGAAUCGAAGCCCCGGUAAACGGCGGCCGUAACUAUAACGGUCCUAAGGUAGCGAAAUUCCUUGUCGGGUAAGUUCCGACCUGCACGAAUGGCGUAACGAUGGCCACACUGUCUCCUCCGCAGACUCAGC
This 2096-nucleotide ribosomal RNA is filed under the name freshwater metagenome. RNAcentral's name for it is "bacterial LSU rRNA". The stretch from base 488 to 2096 matches the Rfam family "Bacterial large subunit ribosomal RNA", at positions 1 to 2037 of the family's 2925-position model. The record is from RNAcentral.